GAUGAACGCUGGCGGCGUGCCUAAUACAUGCAAGUCGAGCGAACAGACGAGGAGCUUGCUCCUCUGACGUUAGCGGCGGACGGGUGAGUAACACGUGGAUAACCUACCUAUAAGACUGGGAUAACUUCGGGAAACCGGAGCUAAUACCGGAUAAUAUAUUGAACCGCAUGGUUCAAUAGUGAAAGACGGUUUUGCUGUCACUUAUAGAUGGAUCCGCGCCGCAUUAGCUAGUUGGUAAGGUAACGGCUUACCAAGGCAACGAUGCGUAGCCGACCUGAGAGGGUGAUCGGCCACACUGGAACUGAGACACGGUCCAGACUCCUACGGGAGGCAGCAGUAGGGAAUCUUCCGCAAUGGGCGAAAGCCUGACGGAGCAACGCCGCGUGAGUGAUGAAGGUCUUCGGAUCGUAAAACUCUGUUAUUAGGAAAGAAAAAAUGUGUAAGUAACUAUGCACGUCUUGACGGUACCUAAUCAGAAAGCCACGGCUAACUACGUG
This 497-nucleotide ribosomal RNA is filed under the name uncultured bacterium. RNAcentral describes it as "partial 16S ribosomal RNA". It matches the Rfam family "Bacterial small subunit ribosomal RNA", at positions 28 to 507 of the family's 1533-position model. The record is from RNAcentral.